GAUGAACGCUGGCGGCGUGCCUAAUACAUGCAAGUCGAGCGAACGGACGAGAAGCUUGCUUCUCUGAUGUUAGCGGCGGACGGGUGAGUAACACGUGGAUAACCUACCUAUAAGACUGGGAUAACUUCGGGAAACCGGAGCUAAUACCGGAUGAUAUUUUGAACCGCAUGGUUCAAAAGUGAAAGACGGUCUUGCUGUCACUUAUAGAUGGAUCCGCGCUGCAUUAGCUAGUUGGUAAGGUAACGGCUUACCAAGGCAACGAUGCAUAGCCGACCUGAGAGGGUGAUCGGCCACACUGGAACUGAGACACGGUCCAAACUCCUACGGGAGGCAGCAGUAGGGAAUCUUCCGCAAUGGGCGAAAGCCUGACGGAGCAACGCCGCGUGAGUGAUGAAGGUCUUCGGAUCGUAAAACUCUGCUAUUAGGGAAGAACAUAUGUGUAAGUAACUGUGCACAUCUUGACGGUACCUAAUCAGAAAGCCACGGCUAACUACGUG
Molecule: ribosomal RNA, 497 nt
Filed under: uncultured bacterium
Lineage: Bacteria
Description: partial 16S ribosomal RNA
Rfam family: Bacterial small subunit ribosomal RNA
Source: RNAcentral